RNAcentral lists this ribosomal RNA (429 nucleotides) under Bacteroidota bacterium. RNAcentral describes it as "Bacteroidetes bacterium partial 16S ribosomal RNA". It matches the Rfam family "Bacterial small subunit ribosomal RNA", at positions 355 to 776 of the family's 1533-position model. The record is from RNAcentral. Lineage: Bacteria; Pseudomonadati; Bacteroidota.
UAGGGAAUCUUCGGCAAUGGGGGGAACCCUGACCGAGCAACGCCGCGUGAGUGAAGAAGGUUUUCGGAUCGUAAAGCUCUGUUGUUAAGGAAGAACGAGUGUGAGAAUGGAAAGUUCAUACUGCGACGGUACUUAACCAGAAAGGGACGGCUAACUACGUGCCAGCAGCCGCGGUAAUACGUAGGUCCCGAGCGUUGUCCGGAUUUAUUGGGCGUAAAGCGGGCGCAGGCGGUUAGAAGAGUCUGAAGUGAAAGGCAGUGGCGCAACCAUUGUAGGCUUUGAAAAAUGUUUAACUUGAGUGCAGGAGGGGGGAGUGGAAUUCCAUGUGUAGCGGUGAAAUGCGUAGAUAUAUGGGGGAACACCGGUGGCAAAAGCGGCUCUCUGGUCUGUAUCAGACGCAGAGGCUAGAAAGCGUGGGGAGCGAACAGG